Molecule: ribosomal RNA, 833 nt
Filed under: Tubeufia sympodilaxispora
Lineage: Eukaryota; Fungi; Ascomycota; Dothideomycetes; Tubeufiales; Tubeufiaceae
Description: LSU rRNA
Rfam family: Eukaryotic large subunit ribosomal RNA
Source: RNAcentral
ACCAACAGGGAUUGCCUCAGUAACGGCGAGUGAAGCGGCAAUAGCUCAAAUUUGAAAUCUGCUCUUUGAGCCGAAUUGUAAUUUGUAGAGGAUGCUUCGGCUUACGUCUCGGUCUAAGUUCCUUGGAACAGGACGUCACAGAGGGUGAGAAUCCCGUUUGUGGCCGCGACUUCCGCCAUGUGAAGCUCCUUCGACGAGUCGAGUUGUUUGGGAAUGCAGCUCUAAAUGGGAGGUAUAUUUCUUCUAAAGCUAAAUACCGGCCAGAGACCGAUAGCGCACAAGUAGAGUGAUCGAAAGAUGAAAAGCACUUUGGAAAGAGAGUUAAAAAGUACGUGAAAUUGUUGAAAGGGAAGCGCUUGCGACCAGACUUGCCCGCGGAUGCUCAACCGGUCCUUCGGCCGGUGCACUCUUCCGCGGUCAGGCCAGCAUCAGUUCGAGUAGUUAGAUAAAGGCUUAGGGAAUGUGGCUCUCUUCGGGGAGUGUUAUAGCCCUUUGUGCAAUAUAACUCACUUGGACUGAGGCCCGCGCUUCGGCUAGGAUGCUGGCGUAAUGGUCGUAAGCGGCCCGUCUUGAAACACGGACCAAGGAGUCUAACAUCUAUGCGAGUGUUUGGGUGUCAAACCCGUGCGCGAAAUGAAAGUGAACGGAGGUGGGAACCUUAGGGUGCACCAUCGACCGAUCCUGAUGUCUUCGGAUGGAUUUGAGUAAGAGCAUAGCUGUUGGGACCCGAAAGAUGGUGAACUAUGCCUGAAUAGGGUGAAGCCAGAGGAAACUCUGGUGGAGGCUCGCAGCGGUUCUGACGUGCAAAUCGAUCGUCAAAUUUGGGUAUAGGG